GUGCCAGCAGCCGCGGUAAUACAGAGGUCUCAACCGUUGUUCGGAUUCAUUGGGCGUAAAGGGUGCGUAGGCGGUCGCGCAAGUCGGAUGUGAAAUCUCAGGGCUCAACCCUGAAACUGCAUUCGAUACUGCGUGGCUAGAGUGCUGGAGAGGAGACUGGAAUUUACGGUGUAGCAGUGAAAUGCGUAGAUAUCGUAAGGAAGACCAGUGGCGAAGGCGAGUCUCUGGACAGCAACUGACGCUGAGGCACGAAGGCCAGGGGAGCAAACGGGAUUAGAUACCCCGGUAGUCC
This 292-nucleotide ribosomal RNA is filed under the name uncultured bacterium. RNAcentral's name for it is "partial 16S ribosomal RNA". It matches the Rfam family "Bacterial small subunit ribosomal RNA", at positions 505 to 796 of the family's 1533-position model. The record is from RNAcentral.